Mustela erminea (ermine) is the source of this 4407-nucleotide RNA transcript. It is a transcript of the gene named F-box protein 43, with no coding region annotated. NCBI's taxonomy places the organism in Eukaryota, Metazoa, Chordata, Mammalia, Carnivora, Mustelidae. The transcript is spliced from 4 exons. The record is from RefSeq and is a predicted model, not a curated record.
CGUAGCGGUUACUCAAGGCGGGCAGUUCAAACCGAAGGAGGGAAACGCGGCGGCCCCACGCGAACGUGGCGUGGGGGUUGCCAUAGCCGGGCAUCCCUGGGGGCGAGGCGGCGGCUCCUGCCCGGCGCUCCCAGCGGCGGCUGCCUGUCUCCCCUCCCUCCUGGCCCCGCCGCCCGGUCGGUGCGGGUGCGUCUCGGUCUCCAGGUGGGCGGGAGUGGGGGGCCCAAGUGCGUGCGGGCUUCCGGGCGGCCCCGGGUCCGGCCCCACUUUGCUUUCCAGGUGCUGGGACUAGAGAGGUGCCCGGAAGCCGAUUUCUUACCGGCUCGUUCCGCUCCAGGGGACGCCCACCCACCCUCCGCCUUUCGGUGGCGUUCUGGGUCCUGGAGGCGGAGCCGAGGCGACCCCCAGUUCCCCCGCCAGCUGGGCCUUGGGAAGGUCCAGGAGGGACGAACGGGGCCAAAGGACGCCCUGGUGAGACCGUUAAGCCCCCACCCUCUGAUAGCAUCUUGGGGGAGUAAAGGACAGCGCUGCGGCUUCCACUGCAUUUUCAGAAAACCCGAAUUUGGGAAGGUUCCUCAGUUCCCAGACUAGCUGGAGAGGACAGGGAUAUUGAAAUUACCGUUAAUCUGGAAAGCUGAAAGAAACUCAGAAUGAUUUAGGCCUUUUCAUGUGUUAGGAAUAAUCCGUGCGGUAUGUACUUUACGUACCUUUCAAAUCUGAGCGGUCAUCACGCUGCUGCACGUUCCAAUUGUCCAAACUAGAGUUUUGAAUUGGUAAUACUUUGGCAUGAGUUUUAAAGGCAAAGUGAAAGAUUUUCUUGUUUGGAAACUCACCUAACUGACAUCUAAGAACUCAAGACUUACUGAUGAAACAGAUUUGAAGAUGUCAGAGAGACAUUCAAGUCAAGCUUGCCCUGGAGUGGGAAAUAAGGUGGACCGUCCUGCUGUCAAUUUCAAAUACUCCAGCUUCAGAGACUUUUGCUCCACAUCUUCAUUUCAAGAUAGUGGCUACAAUGAGCUCUUACAACCUUGCAACUUUGAGAAUACAGAUAAAGAAUUUUUUGGAGAGAAAGAAAAAGGCCCAACAUUAAUCCAUGAACAUCCUGAAACUUCAAAUCUGGGAUUAACUCAUACUUUAGAAUCUCCAACUCAAAAAAAGAGAUUUUUCUUUUCUAGGAAGGAGAAUGAUAAAACUCCAGAACUUUGUGAAACCCCUAAAGUCAGUGGAAAAAAACGUUUACUGCGUAGAAGGUUGGACAUAUCUUUCUCUCUCCUAAAGGGGGACUUUGAAUCACAAAAUAGUUCUCUAGAAAAUAGUAUAAGCCAGGUUCUCCACUUAGAAAAAAAUAUUCCAGGCAGUGCUUCAAGUUUUCCAAGACAAACCAGUUUUAGUCCUUUAGUUACUAGUUCUUUGAAAACAGAAGAAGCAACCUCCAGCAGUCAAAAAUUGAGACUUAAUUUUUCUCAACAGAAGACUUCCACAGUUGAUGAUUCCAAAGAUGACUGUAGCCUAUUUGAGGUUGAAUGUAUAUCUCCAAUUCAGGGUAAUAGUUUUAAAGACUCUAUCACACAUGACCUUAGUGAUAGCAGUCUAUUUAUUAAUGAUGAGAAUAUAUACCCCAAACUUCUGGGCUCCUCUGCUAGUGGAACAUCUUAUGGAACAAACGAGAACUUAUGUGUGACUCCAGUAAGUAGUCUUGUAGCAAACAUUAAAUUUAAUGCAAGUCAAAGGCUCUCUCCUACAGCUGAAGUGAAGGGCAAUAUUUCAACACCUGAAGAUAGUGGUUUUAACUCACUUUGUUUGGAUAAAUCGGAAGAUUCCCUCUCUGACCAGGAGGGUUCUUUCCGAGAACUUUGGAAACAAAAGGGAACGGUCAAAGUGGAGGACACCAUAAAAAAGUCAAGACAUCUUCGAAGGCUGAGAAGAUUGUCCACGCUUCAGGAACAAAGCUCACAAUCUGAGACAGAGAGGGACUCUGACUUGGAAGCAACACCAGCAGCUGCUUCAGACACCUCGGAGAGUCAGCUGAGCAGUUACAAUGAUAUUUUAAGCUUUAAGAAUUUAUCAAAGACCCCAGCCUUGCAGUUAGUGCACGAGCUCUUCAUGAGAAACAAAAGAAAAAGAUUCCAGCAAACUGGUGCUCAUGAAUGGUUAGAAGAGAAGGAUGGGGGGCAAAUAGCCAUACUACAGUGUGUCCUUGCAGGACUGAUUGGCAAGAAAAUGGGUAUAGAAAAGCUGGACAUCUUAACAGAAUUAAAAUACAGAAAUUUAAAACAUAUUCUUGCUAUGAUUUUAGGUUCCUUGACUGCAGAAAACCUAUGCAGUGUUUGGAAAGUGAGCAGAAAUUGGCAUGAAAUUAUUGUUCAAGAUAAAAAAGCAAAUCGGAGGAGGAAAUUCUAUAUCUCACAACUGAAAGCAGAUUCUGAGGUAAUGUAUACAAUACUUUUCUCAAAUGGAUUUGUAAAAAUAAUAAUCGCAAAUAGCCAGACAACCAAAUUUGGUUUUCCUGCUAUCUUUUAACCAUUUUUCAUUUAGCAAACAUUCACUCAUGAAUGUUUUACCUCUCCCAAACUCCAUUUCCUUCCAGUCCAUAAGUGAAGUAGACUGCCCAGCAUCAAGAGCAUCCUAGGGUUUGUUGUUGAAGUAUGUGUGCUGUUAGCAGGGUUUGAAUACCAGUGCUCUGCUGGAUCCUAUUCGUAAUUAGAUGUCCUUAUAACAUUUUCUAUCUAGUCUUUUGAGCGGAUACUAUGUGCCAAUUGCUCAGAUUACAAUGGUGAACCUUUCUGAAGUGGUGCCCACUCUCUUGGAGCUCAUGCCCCAUGGGUGAUACAAAUAAGCAGGUGAUUAUAAUACAGGUGUGUUAGGGGCAACCCAGAGUUUUUUCUACCAGAACAUUUUAAAGGGGCAUUUGAUACUUGGGAAUCAAGAGAAGGCUUUUCAGAAGAAGCACAACUCUGCGGAGACCUGAAGGAGGAGUGAGUGGCUUACCGAGUGAAGUUGGGGAGGAGCGUUUCCGCAGCAUCGAGGAAGGCCUGGAAGUGAGCGAGUGUGGCAGACAAGCACUGGUAAAGCAUCAUAAGCUUGUAUUUUCUUGAAGAUUUGAGAACCAGCUUUGAAUUGACAGGAAAAGUUCUGCAGAAGCUGAUUAAUUCUUCCGAGCGACACUACUUUGUGUCCUAGACAUCUCAUAACUCUGGCAACCGUGUGCGCUCUAUAUGAACUUUCAGAUCUUUCUUGGCCAUCAGUAUUAAGAGAAACCACAAGAGUUCACUCUCUUCUCCUUGUUUUAGUAAAAAGCAUUUAAUGACUGUUUCUCUGUACAGAUCCCCGAUUCAUCUCCUAUUAUCCACCAGAACUGGAAAUCUCCUCUGUGUAAGUCCAGACAAAUCAGGUAUUCUUCCUGUUCCUUCCUCUCCCUAGAGACAUCCUUCCUGGUGCACUUUGCCACCCUAUUCUGAUACGGACCGGUUGCUUUCCACAUAAACUAUCUUAAUGUGUAUCAUUGACCCAAACAGAAACAUUACAAGACAAAGUUGUUUGAGGUUUUCCUCAUACUUGUGUAAUGUCUCUGAAAUCUCCUUAUGUAUAAAAGUUAGAAGGCAAACACCAGCUCGGUGUCAUAGGAUCUCAAUUUCAUCUAUUUGCUUUGCAGCCGUAACAAUGAGUGUUAGAAUGGGGAUACGCCUUUUCCACCGAAUUUCUUAAUUUACUGUACUCCUCACUGUUCUCUUAUAACCAUGGAAAGGAACAACCAUACAGGGACUCCACUUUCACAUUUAAAUAUCUUCCUGUAACAUGAUGUGACUUUGAAAAAUUUUCGCCCUCACGAAUAUGUGCCUUGGUUGCCUGCUUUGCCUCCUUUGCUCAGAGAUGGAAGCACACGUUUUAAACUCUAGGAGGCCUGGGUUUAGACUGUUUUAUUCACUGGCACCCUUAGGAGUUCUAUAAAUAUUUGUUAAAUAAAUGAAUAUUCUGUAGCUGAAAUGUGUUUCAACAAUGUAUCUCUAUUCAUUUUGUUGGUUCAUACACAAUCACUGUGUUUACCAACCACAUCGAAAUCCAUCAAAAUUUUGGUAUGCUGUUGUGUCAUGUUCUUGUGUCCUAGGCUGCAAGUUAUUUAUACAAAUGUACUAUAAAGAGAUGUAUGGAGUCCUUGAAAAAGUUCAUUUGUAUUCAUUCCAUUUUUAGAAAACCAAUAUUCAUCCAUUACACUUAUGCCUAUGUUGUUUUAACUGUUAAUCACAGAAUUUUUCACAACCAGCUAAUCUUAUUUCCUAUAUUUAUCAUUCUAUAAUUUCUCUUAUUUUUUCUCACCUUCCUUUUAGGAGCCAAUUGUGGCAAAGGGAAACUAUCAAGGGAGAGGAAGCACAGUUUUAGGUAGACACAUGAGGAAAUUCACUCUCAGUA